AACCAACUCUAUAAUAAUACAUUCCUUUGUUGCACAAGUUGUUGAAAUAAAACCAAUGACAUAAUAUACGUAAUCGUUAGCAAAUACAGUAAUAACUGAAUGUACUGUUAAAACAAUAGCAAUUUACUAAUGUGUACAGCCAGCGCGGCACCAUACCGCACAAGUGCACUCUUGACUAGGUUGAUCACAACGCGCGACAGGCAAGAACCAGCUAGCUUGUCAGUUCAAGGCCUGGAAAAUGGCUGCAGGAUCUGGCGCGUCAAGCGGCCACGGUCGUGGUUCGCCUGCGGCCCUAGAGUCAACUUUGGAUCGACGGUUUCAAGGAGUGACGAACACAAUGGAAUCAAUUCAAGGACUAUCAAAUUGGUGUAUCGAGAACAAGAAAUACCACAGUCUUAUCGUGCGUUACUGGAUGAAAUGGUUGAGGAAAUCUGAGGCUUCUCACCGUCUCAAUUUGUUCUACCUCGCCAACGAUGUCAUUCAGAACUGUAAGAGGAAAAAUGCCAUCGUCUACCGUACUGCCUUCGCCGACGUGCUCCCUGAGGCCUUCCAGCUGGUCAAUAAUGUGGGAGACUCUAAGGUGAUGAAGUCAGUGGACAGGAUAUUAUCCAUCUGGGAGGAGAGGAGUGUGUACACAGAGGAGCUCAUAGCUGAGCUGAGGGCCAGUCUGGUCAAAGAGGAGUCACCUGCUGCUUUAGAAACACCUAAAGCUCCAGUCAACUCUAAAGCUGCUCUUCAAUCUAAGAUUGUAGCUGAAUUUGUCCCCCAGGCAUUCAUCGAUCAUCUUUCUAAGUACCACAGCUCUGUGGAGGAAGUGGAGCUAAAGGAGAAACAGCUAGCAGCCAUGAGGGUGGACGUCUGCAGCAGCGAGGACCUCAAGAGACUGAAAGAUAAGGCAGGGGGGAAGAGGCACUCCAAGGACUUUGAGGAUGGCAGUGCGAAGCUAAAGGAGUUUGUGGCCUUCCUUGACCGGCAGAUCAAAGGAGGGUCCCCUCUGUUGAAUGCUCUUGGCAACGCAGACAUUUUCUACGAGAUGCAGUAUAAGGAGGUCAAGAUAGUCGCCAAUGCGUACAAGACGUUUGCCAACCGGGUGUCCCACCUCAAGCGUAAGCUGGACAGCCUCAAGGCCACCUUACCAGACCUGGACGAGUCGCCCCUCCCCUCGCCCUCGAUGGAUGCCCCGUCCCCCAAUGGCUCAGAGUCCCCCUUCCGUGGCCUGGCCGACCCAGAAUCUGACUUGGAUGGCCUGGCCAUGGAUGAUGAGGCGGAAAUCACUCUGGGGGAAGCACCCAGCCCCCUGUCCUCCCCUGGUGGCUCCCCAAAGCAGGGCUUCACUGUCGGGGAGUUAGACAACCGCGAUGUGGAGGACAUGGAGCUCUCGGAUGAGGAGGAGGCAGAGAGCGUCGGUAUCAUAGUUGAGGAGCGAGUUGAAAGUCCCGUCCCAUCUCCAGACCCCAUUCCUGUGCCUGUUGUCACACAGCUGCCGCUGGCCACAGAGGCAAAGCCUGUCCCACAGGCCACACCCUCCCCAGCUCUCAUGAUCCCAGUGACCCCUACAACCAACCUAUCAGGCAACCUCGCCAAUGUAGACCUGGGUAAAAUUAGCUCUAUCCUCAGCAGCAUCACCUCUGUCAUGAAGAAACCAGGAGUGAGUCCAGGUGCUUCUUUGGUCUGCCCCUCCUCUCCAGCCAAGACCACCCCUCCUGCCCCAGUAGCCCCCCAGGUAGCCAGCCCUCUGGCCAGCGUCCUGUCCAGAGUGGACAUGACUCCCGAGGCGCUCCUCAGUGCACUGUCCAAAACCCAGGAGCAGGCCAGUGGGCGACAUGUUCUCUCCACUCUUGUGAACAGCCCAACGGGAAACUUCUCCUCAUACUCCCCCAGUACAGGCAAGCUCCCUCCCUCCGCCUCCACCCCUACAGUACCCUCUCGAGGCCUUCCUCUCACCUCCUCUACGCUCCAACCAACCCCAUCAGCCCCUACAGUGGGGAAUACCACCACCGUCCUUCAGGCAGCGUCCCUUACCCAGCCCACACAGCCUCUAGACAUCGGCCCUCACAGAGGGCUGGUCCUUGAGCAAGGGAAGGAAGAAAACCCCUCAGCUUCCAGCCUGGAGUCCAAGAUCCACAGCUUCCUGCAGGUUAACCCUGGCUUUAAUGCCUUUAACCUGGGCUUGACUAGCGAGACCAUGCAAGCGGGAGGCAGCGACAUCAGCCCCUUAGCGGGUACAGAGACCCAAGUGGGCACCCCGGUGCGGGAUGAGGCCGGAGGAGGCACCCCCACCCUGGAUGAGUUCUUGGACACUCCAGGAGGAGCAGAGCCCUUCCUGGCCAAGCAAGGUCAGGUCUCUUCUGGGGGAGUUCCUAAACAACCAGAUGGCAGCCUGUCUCAGUCUCCAACUGCCUACCACAACCAAGCCUGGCAGGAUCCCAACAACCCUCAUGUCCACUUAGGACCACAACCAGGUGCUCCGAAUGGGCAGGGGUACCACCAGUUGCCUUAUGGAGGGAAGGAAGAGAUGCAUGGAAUAGGUCCUUCCCUCAGAGAGUCUGGGUUGGCCCAUUACCAGCCCAUCACGACACAGGUGUCAGCCCCAACCCUCGGGGAGGGGUUACCCAGUAACACACCAGGAGGGGCUCAGGCAGGGCCAAACCCCAGUGUGAGUGAAGGAGGAUGGUAUGGUAAUCCCUACCCAGAGGGACAGGCCCUGCAUCCUAACAACCACAACAUGGCUGCAUCAGGGGCAGGAGAUGGCAAAACCCCCAUGUCAGGACGGUAUGCAUACCAGGGGGAGGGGCAGACACAGCCCUACCAAACAAAGGAUCCUCAAACUCUGCUUUCCCAACAGGGGGCCAACCCCUCAAGCUUCCUCACCAGCCCUCUGCCCCCCAUUCCCCAGCUGCCUCCACCGCCCUUCCCUGGAAUACCAGCCCCACCUGCGUCUGUCAUUGUGCGAGGGGUGAUGGUGCCUGUGGCGCAACCCUCACCAAACCUUGAGAUGGAGGAUGACAGGGCGGGCGUCAGUGCAUUGGGCGGUCCAGUGAUUAUCAGUGAUCACCAGCACAAAUCUGCUUUCUACCCUGAGGGCCAACCCUAUCACCCAGAUGACCUUCAUCGCCAUGCCGAUGACCCCCGUCAUCACCUUGACGAUUUCCGUUGUCACCCCAACGAUCUACGCCGUCAGCCUGACGACCUGCAUCACCUUGACAACUUCCGUCAGCACCCCCACGACCUCCAUCGUCACCCAGACGAUCGCUAUUAUCACCCAGACGAUUUCCACCAUCUACCUGUAGACGAUCCUCAUUAUCCUUAUAGAGUCAGAGAGCGCCUCACUCCCCCCCUCUCUCCCUCAGAAGACCCUUACUACUAUAAUUACCCUCCACGCAGCCCUUCCCCUCCAUAUGGUCACAGACCCCCCCUUCACCCUCACAUGGACCUGCACCACCCUGACCACAUGCCCCUGCCUCCCCAUCCUCCACACCGUCCUCUCCACCCAGUUCACCAGCCACACCUGAGAGGCCUCCCGUGGGGUCCCCCACGCCCAACCCUCUGUGGCCCCAUGCUCAGGGGGAAACGGCCAGGGCCUCCUUUCGGGGGACACCUCAGAGGGGGACCAGGUGGUCCGUUCUUUCCCCCCAAAAGACCACACCUACCUCCGCGCUUCUGACUUGUCAACUGACUGGGGUGACAUCAAAUUACAGUGCUUAGGCUCCCGGAAUGUUAUUGUGGCAGGGGGCGCGACACAUCGAGGGUAGAAUAGGAGGAGAGAUAAGUUGGGAAGAAGCAGAAGAAUUGAGGUGUACUUUUCUCUGCUCCCCUUCUUGGUUUAAGAGGCCUGAGAGGAAGAGGGGAAUAGAUGAGUACAAUUGGAGGAGGAGUAAAUUGGGAGGAUCUAAAGGAAUGGAGGAGAGGAUUAGUGAAGACAUGGAUCUGGAGAAAGAGGGAAUGGAGAGGUCGGCCUGAACAACGAAGACACAGCGGAAUAGAAGAAAAUAAGAGUAACCUGGAUGACUCAUGGUGACCUGUGCGAGGAGUGGGAAACCGCUGGCGUGAGUGACAUACAAUACAACAAGCUCCAAGGGCCAGUACAUCAAGAGCCAGACUAGUGCACCAUUUUGGGCCAGUCACUGAGGAAGAAUCAGAGACAAGGACCAGUGGAUUGGAAUCCACUCCAGUUUUAAACAUUGAUGAAGAAAUAGUGAUGGCAAAUAUGCACUUCAUGAACAGGUAGAUCUGUUCAGCUCUUUUGAAGAGCAUGAAAGUGUCAGCCCCAGGAAUGUCCCAUCUGGCGUUUAUGUGGAUUUUGGAGCAGCGAACUGACUUCUUUGGCAGGAACGGAAUGAUCUGUGGGGACACUUUUCAAAAAAGCUUCUUUGAGUGGACGUACUGCCGCUCUGAAAUUGAUCAGGUCUGUGAUAUACAGGACUUUGACUGCCCAGCCUGUUCACCCAGCAUGCUUGCAGUGUCAGUGGACGGGAACAAGAAGCUGUAUCGAUUCAAAAAAGGGACUGAUGACAAAGAAUUCUUUGAUGGCGUAUUUAUCUGCAAGGAUGAGGAUGUGUCUGACUUUGUGAACUARGUCCAUACAAAGACUAAACAUGGUUAUGGAAAAGGGGUAUGUGGAGCAUCCCAGUGGACWGCAGCUYAAGAGUCGUCAAGGAAAACAAACGACAAACUUGAUGAAGAGGGACUCGAAGUUGCCGUCUGCCGCCYCGGAAUACUUCUAAGGAGCCUCAACAUGAUGCGUGGAGAGAUAUUUGCGUACCCACUGUUCUUGCAGAAGGAAUUGUCUGGCAGCAGGAACAUACAAUUKAUGUGUAKGGAUGUGAUCUGCAKAUUUUGGCCAUACCUGACCAAAGUUGCCCWUCAUUGUCCAGAGCUCGCCACUCUUCUAGACAUGAAGCCACUUCUUUCCGUCAUGCAUGCAAAGGCACAUCGUUUGAAAUGCGAGCAAGAACAGACAUGCUAACCAUCCAGGCCAUGGGGUGGAACAGAAGGAAGAAAAACAACCUGCACAGAGUAUUGUCCAGAAGAUACUUGAAGGGACAACAGCAAAAAUCCAGGAGGAGACCCAGACUCUCGAAAAGUUUAAGAGUGAUUCGGGUGUAGGUGAUGAGACUCUGUACAACUGGACAACGGAAGUUCAGCAAUGGGCUAAUACAG
Non-coding RNA from Salvelinus sp. IW2-2015, 5160 nucleotides. Lineage: Eukaryota; Metazoa; Chordata; Actinopteri; Salmoniformes; Salmonidae. The record is from RefSeq and is a predicted model, not a curated record.